GAGAAAACACAUACCUAAAGAUUCUCUGGAGAGGCUGAAACACCAGGUUUGGCGCUCUGGAAGGAAGAACAACAACAGAGGCUGCUGCUCUGCUGGGUAUCGGAUACUGCAGUAUCCCACCCCUGACACCAUUAGCUCGAGAUGCUGACAUUUUUCUCAGCACUGUGGCCACUGCUGCUCCAAGAAUUUGGUCUUUAGAUUGGCAUUUCAGUCAGCGAGAUCCUCCUGGCCCUUGUUUCUAUGCAUCAUAGUUCCUGAAUCAAAGUCUGGGGAUAGGGUACCUGGAGAGCACAGAACGAAUUGACACUCUCAUCCACUGUGGCCAUCCUUCAGUGCUGUACGAACCGGGGAUUCUCUGGAGGGAGCCUUACCUCCUUUGAUCUAGAAGUACAAUCUUACAGCUGUAUGGAGGAAGCCCUUUUCCAAUGGGAGAAGAGGCCAGCCAUCAGCAGGAAAGCAGAGCUCAAAGACAAAGAGAAGGAAAAGAGAGUUCUGGUGACAUUGGUUGAACACGUAGUUCUACCUCUGCCUGAGCCCAUGAAUAUCCUUUCUGUUUAAGCUAGUUUGAAAUGUUUUGGUCACUUUCAAGUGGAUAAAUCCUACCAUGCUAACAUGCUUAAAUAUUAGAAUGAAGUAAUACUUUUAAUUAUGAAAAACAGAGACAAGUGAAAAGAAAACCCCCAAAUCAUUCCUAAGCUUAUUUUUAGUUAUACAAAAAAUGGUAUAAUACCAUAUAUUCUCCUUAUUUGUUUAUUUUUUAGAGUGAUGAACAUGUUAUUUAUUUAUUUAUUUAUUUUUUUUUUGAGAGAGAGAGUCUUGCUCUCUUGCCCAGGCCGGAGUGCAGCAUGAUCUUGGUUCACUGCAACCUCCGCCUCCCAGGUUCAAGUGAUUCUCCUGUCAGCUUCUAGAGUAGCUGGGACUAUAGGCAUAUGCCACCAUGUCUGGCUAAUUUUUGUAUUUUUAGUAGAGAUGAGGUUUCGCCAUGUUGGCCAGGCUGGUCUUGAACUCCUGACUUCAGGUGAUCCGCCCACCUCGGCCUCACAAAGUGCCCUUAUAUUAGUGUGUGUGUGUUGUGUUGGAGAUUAUAAAAUAUGCCCACAAAUUCCUUCAUCCAGUAUGCAAUGCCUUUUGCAAUGUGAAUUUGCUGCUUCCCUUGUGCAGAAGGGAGGUUUAUUUCUAUCCCUUGACUCUUGGCCUGGUGAUUUAUUUGAAUGGGAGAAUGCAGCCGGACAUGUAUAUAACCUUGAGUUGCCAGUCCAGCCUUCUAGAUGUGACCAAGACAGCCCAGCCCACAGCCCACCCCACUGCCAGGCUGAACAGGAAGCAUAGUGCCAGCAUCUGCUUCUGGUGAGGCCUCAAGGAGCUUCCAAUCCUGGUAGAAGGAGAAGAGGAGCUGUCAUGUCACAUGGAGAGAGAAAGGGAGCAAGGGAGAGAGGGGAGGACAUGCCAGGCUCCUUUUGAACAACCAGCUCUCAAGCGAACCAAUAGUGAAAACUCACUCAUUACUGCAGAAUGGCAGUAAUGCAUGAAGGAUCUGCCCCAUGACCCAUACAGUUCCCACUAGGCCCCACCUCCAACAUUGGGGAUCAACUUCCACAUCAAAUUGGGAGGAGAGAAUUAUCCCAACUAUAUCAGGAGGUCAUCUUGAACCCUCUAGCCCUGCUGUCUCUCUCUCAGAAUCCAACUGUGGAGGAACUUCCAGCUAACCCUCAAAAUCAUGAAAAAUAAUAACUCUUAGCUGUUUUAAACCACUUUUGGAAUGAAUUAUGCAGCAAAAGCUGAGAUGGAUGGUGUCCUGCCAUGUCUCACGGAACUACGUAUAACCAUUUCCCCCACCUUAUUCAAUAUUUAUUAAGGUUACUUUGGUUGCAAACAUCAGAAAUCAACCCCAGCCAACUUAAACAAAAGGAAAAUGCAUUAGAAUGUCCCUAAUGUAAGUCAAGGAACAGAAAAUAAAAUUGGGAAGUGGGGAAAUCAGGGCGUCCGCGGGCUCAUUAGCAGCAUGAUAUCCUGGAGUUGCCGUCCAAAAAAUUGCCAUUAACACCAUCCCGCGCUAAUGAUAGCAACUUCAAGUUUUCAGAGCAGACGGUCUGACCCGCCCCGUUUGGGUCAGUACCCACGUCUGAAUCAUUUAGCUAUGACGAAGUGGGCGUCAGUGGUGGGAGGCAGGAGGCGGACAUGUAGAAAGUAGGUGAAGUCGUGGGAGUGCCGAUGCAGAAGCCACGAGCGCUGCUCAUGGCCUGGGCCUGCUUUUUAACUGCUACAUGUUUUGAUUCUCCAAAAGUUGUUUUCCUUUCAAAUCUCUUUGCAGCUACUGUAUCAAGGCAUUUUUUUUUUUUUUUUGAAGAAAGGGAAAAUAGUGAGGGGCCACUUUUGAAACUGUAACAAAUGGGGCAACAUUGUAUACUUCUGCACAACGUAAGUGAAUCUGUCAAGGUUUUAUGUGCAAACGGGUCUCUGAGUGAGUGAAAUGGUUUUGAUCAGUAUCUAAAAGAAUCUGGGGGUGUAGACAUAAAAGGGAGUUAAACCCAGAGUAACAGGUGUUGUGAAUACAGAGGAGAGGAACGGGGAGGCUUCGAAUGGGGACAGUGUCGACCUCGGCCCCGGCCUGGGGUGGGGGGGCUGCAUCUCCGGAGAGAGGGGGCAUCUCUUGCCCCUAACUGCGGUGUGACAUGUGCCUGGGGCAGCGUCUGCUGGGACUAGCGAGCGCGGGAACCUCGAAUAAGUGGGCCAGGGACCUGAGCCUGGGCCCAGGCCCUCGGACUGGGAGGCCCGCCCGCGGAGGCACGCCGGUACCCCUGAGCCUCGCGCUCUGCACCGAAGCAGCCACCCUCACCGAGCUGGAGGGGGCCGGGGGCCUGGAGCGCGGGGGGAGGCUCUGGGACUGAGGCGGUGCCUCCGCCUCCUGCCUGCCGCGGGAGCGCGGGCCGC
This 2931-nucleotide long non-coding RNA is filed under the name Callithrix jacchus (white-tufted-ear marmoset). RNAcentral describes it as "lncRNA (ENSCJAG00000083275.1)". The record is from RNAcentral. Lineage: Eukaryota; Metazoa; Chordata; Mammalia; Primates; Cebidae.